UACGGCCACAUCACAUUGAAACAAUGGUUCCCGUAUGAUCACAGACGUUUAGCACCGUCGAGCCUGGUAAGCACUUAGAUGGGUGACCGCUUGGGAAUAUCAGGUUCUGUAA
Non-coding RNA from Acanthosepion pharaonis, 112 nucleotides. The record is from the annotation of a GenBank genome assembly. Lineage: Eukaryota; Metazoa; Mollusca; Cephalopoda; Sepiida; Sepiidae.